RNAcentral lists this transfer RNA (64 nucleotides) under Cavia porcellus (domestic guinea pig). It matches the Rfam family "tRNA". Rfam says of the family: Transfer RNA (tRNA) molecules are approximately 80 nucleotides in length. Their secondary structure includes four short double-helical elements and three loops (D, anti-codon, and T loops). Lineage: Eukaryota; Metazoa; Chordata; Mammalia; Rodentia; Caviidae. The record is from Rfam by way of RNAcentral.
GGGGAUUUAGCUCAGCGCCAUAAGCGCCUGCCUUGCAAGCAGGCAGUUGUGAGUUCAAUCCCUG